AUGGCCGAUAUCGCUCUCGCCGUUCACCCACCAUGCCGCGUCGUGGCACUGCCGUACCCCGGCCGUGGCCACGUGAACGCGAUGCUGAGCCUGUGCCGCCUGCUCGCCGCACGCGGCGUCGCCACCACGGUCAUCCUCACCGAGGAGUGGGUUGGCUUGGUUGGCGCAGCAGAGUCGACCCUACCGGCGCGCGUCCGCUUGACCGCCAUCCCCAACGUCAUCCCCUCCGAGCACGGCCGCGACGCCGAUUUACCUGAAUUCUGGGACGCCGUUAACACCAGGAUGGACGCCCCUGUGGAGCGGCUCCUAGAGGCGAUGCUGCCAACACCGGAGAUGGCGGUAGUCGUGGCAGUGGGCGGUGCCCAUGGCGAUCCGAUGUGGGAUCAGCCUAUCCCUGGCCAUACUUGCUUAACAAUGCGCGAGUUUCAGCCGAUCUUGUGUGGCCAGGCCAUUCGAAAGCGAUUCAAGGCGAUAAUUCACAGUGCCCAGGCAGGUCAGUGCGUGCUCUUCUCCUCAUUUUACGAGCUCGAAGCCGGUGUCAUGGACUCGCUCGGCUCAGAGGCUUCGUCGCCCCGCAUGUACUCGAUUGGCCCCUGCAUCCCUUACACGAUGCUUGAAGAAGCACCGCGAGGCGAGCACUCCUACUGGGCUUGGCUGGACACGCAGCCUGUAGGCUCCGUGCUGUACGUGUCGCUGGGCAGCUUCCUCUCGCUGCCACCCUCCCAGCUCGCCGAGCUCGCCAUGGGGCUCGCUGCGAGCGGCGUCAAGUUCAUGUGGGUGCUCCACGACGAAGCGCAGUCACAGGUGCAGCCGCUGCUGCGUGGCAACGGCCACGGGGUGCUCGUGGCGUGGUGCGACCAGCUCAAGCCGACCAAUAGCCGCCUGGUCGUCGACGUGUGGAAGAUUGGGUACAGUCUUAAGGAGAAGAUGCAACCCGACGGCAUCAUCACGAGGGAGGCGAUUGCCCGGGCCGUCGAGACACUGAUGAGCUCCUCUGAUCUGCCACAGAGCAAUGGGGUGAGGAGCAGAGCGCUUCGAUGGAGGGACGCUUCUCGCAGAGCCAUCCAAGAGGGUGGAUCUUCGUCCACUGACAUGAACUCUUUCUUAAGAUACAGCUUAUUUGCAUUGUUCUACAUACUUUGUGAUGAGGAUGCGGCGUGCGACAAUGAAGAGGAGGAGGAAGAAUCAUCUUCGGAGGAGUCGGAUGAAUCGGAGGAAGAUGAGGAUGAAGACAAGGACGAGACUUGA
Molecule: ribosomal RNA, 1248 nt
Filed under: Triticum aestivum (bread wheat)
Lineage: Eukaryota; Viridiplantae; Streptophyta; Magnoliopsida; Poales; Poaceae
Description: partial small subunit ribosomal RNA
Source: RNAcentral